CGCAAUUAAUAUAUCAUUCUGACCCGUUUCAAACCCAUCAGUGCUCUCACGCAGGUUGGGCGCGUCAAGAAGUAAAAGAACAACAUCCAACCAAUUUUAAAACGACAUUUGACAUUUCCAAUUUGAAUUAGUUUCCUCACUAAAUAGAUCCACUCCUUCCUUCCCAAAAUUCUCAAUUGUUAGCCGCUGGAGAUUGCAAUUUCUCAUUUUGAUUCUUUUUUUUAAAAAAAAAAAGACUGUGAAAUCAAUUUCCUGUGAUUAAGUUUUGAGAGAGAGAGAUGUCAAAUGCAAGCUUGAAUCGCAUUUGUAAUGAUGUGAACGAUCCAGUGUUGCAUUUAACGAUGCGAUGUAACAUGGAGACUUGAUGCAAUUGCAGACUUUGUGGUCUGAGACAACCCAGGAAAAUUCAUGCAAGUACUCUAGAUGGAGGGAUCUUCAGGAGAUCGAUAUCCGAUUCAAGUCUGUUAUCCAAGAUUGGCAAAUAGAAUUAAGGAAUUGGAAGAAGCAUUAUAAUUCUAUAAAAUUAAAGAGAAGAAGAUGAAAUUGUUGGAGAAGAAAGGUGAUCAAAUAUGUCAUGAUAAGCUAAUCAAGAAGAAGAUGAUGAAAUGUAGCAUCUUGAAUUGGAAGCUUAUCAUAGUGUUUGUCGCAGUGUUUUUUCUGAUUUUAGGCAUUAAAAGAAUGUGAAUGUUGGAAGAUGUAGUUGUAUGCCAUUGGAAUUGCCUUAGUUGUUGUUUGUUGUUUUCGUUUAUGUUUGGUUGUUUAAUACAUUGGAAGUUUGUCUGGUUUAAGGAAACCUUAUUUGGUUGUGUAAUACAUUGUUGUUGUCGUUGAUGUUUGGUUGUGUAAUACAUCUAUGUUGUAUGAUAUCUUAUGAUCAUUUAACAAUAUACAACGUUGUAAUCUCUUCUA
Molecule: long non-coding RNA, 909 nt
Organism: Solanum lycopersicum (tomato)
Lineage: Eukaryota; Viridiplantae; Streptophyta; Magnoliopsida; Solanales; Solanaceae
Source: RefSeq, a predicted model, not a curated record